RNAcentral lists this ribosomal RNA (576 nucleotides) under uncultured bacterium. Its description in RNAcentral is "bacterial SSU rRNA". It matches the Rfam family "Bacterial small subunit ribosomal RNA", at positions 125 to 719 of the family's 1533-position model. The record is from RNAcentral.
CCCACCCCGUACCGGGAGAUAACCCGCGGAAACGUGGACUAACAUCCCAUAAGGCCGCAUGGCUAAAAUUCCGGGGUACGGGACGGGCACGCGCGACAUUAGGUAGUUGGCGGGGUAACGGCCCACCAAGCCGACGAUGUCUAGGGGUUCUGAGAGGAAGGUCCCCCACACUGGAACUGAGACACGGUCCAGACUCCUACGGGAGGCAGCAGUGAGGAAUAUUGGUCAAUGGGCGAGAGCCUGAACCAGCCAAGUCGCGUGAGGGAAGAAUGGUUAUGGCCUGUAAACCUCUUUUGUCAAGGAAGAAAGACGGCACGCGUGCUGUUUUGCCAGUACUUGACGAAUAAGCAUCGGCUAACUCCGUGCCAGCAGCCGCGGUAAUACGGGGGAUGCGAGCGUUAUCCGGAUUUAUUGGGUUUAAAGGGCGCGUAGGCGGGACGCCAAGUCAGCGGUAAAAGACUGCAGCUAAACUGUAGCACGCCGUUGAAACUGGCGACCUCGAGACGAGACGAGGGAGGCGGAACAAGUGAAGUAGCGGUGAAAUGCUUAGAUAUCACUUGGAACCCCGAUAGCGAA